Molecule: ribosomal RNA, 253 nt
Filed under: uncultured Ruminococcus sp.
Lineage: Bacteria; Bacillati; Bacillota; Clostridia; Eubacteriales; Oscillospiraceae
Description: partial 16S ribosomal RNA
Rfam family: Bacterial small subunit ribosomal RNA
Source: RNAcentral
UACGUAGGGGGCAAGCGUUAUCCGGAUUUACUGGGUGUAAAGGGAGCGUAGACGGUGAUGCAAGUCAGAAGUGAAAGCCCGGGGCUCAACUCCGGGACUGCUUUUGAAACUGCAGAGCUUGAGUGGAGUAGAGGUAGGCGGAAUUCCCGGUGUAGCGGUGAAAUGCGUAGAGAUCGGGAGGAACACCAGUGGCGAAGGCGGCCUACUGGGCUCUAACUGACGCUGAGGCACGAAAGCGUGGGUAGCAAACAGG